Molecule: transfer RNA, 75 nt
Filed under: Bacilli bacterium
Lineage: Bacteria; Bacillati; Bacillota; Bacilli
Also listed under: 1 other name
Description: tRNA-Cys
Rfam family: tRNA
About the family: Transfer RNA (tRNA) molecules are approximately 80 nucleotides in length. Their secondary structure includes four short double-helical elements and three loops (D, anti-codon, and T loops).
Source: RNAcentral
GGUUCCAUAGCCAAGUUGGUAAGGCAGUUGACUGCAACUCAAUAAUCGAUGGUUCAAGUCCGUCUGGAACCUCCA